UCAUCAUCAUCUUCAUCUUCUUCACCUUCAUCCUCAUCCCCUUCUUCGUCAAUAUCUUCUAAUCCUUCCUCCUCUUCAUCAUCAUCAUUUAUCCGUUUCCAAGAUGGAAGCUCAGAAUGCAAGUGAUCACCCUUUUCAGCUUCAGUAAACUCUGCAGGAAAUUUAUCUUCUUCUACUAGAAGACUCUCAUCUCCCACAUUUGGAAUCAGAGUAUAAUGAUUCUCAACAGCCUCCCCAUUACUCAAGACCUCUCCAAUACCUUGUUUUUCCUUGUAAAUUUCCCUAUUCUUCUCCAGCUCCAAAUCAUCAAAUUCUCUCUCCACUUCUUCAAUCACUUGUUUCUCAAAUUUAAUAUCCCGAGAACUCUCAUCAAUCAGUGGCAUAUAAUUAUCUAAAGCAUCAUCUCCCUCAAUCUUGCUAACUACAUUCUUCUCCCAAUUCUCUUCUCCAAUGGCUUCCUCUGCUGCAUCCUUUCUCUUCCCUACAAAAUUCUCUACAAAAAAGUUCUCAUCUUUCUCAACAACAACAGUGGCAUCCCCAAUAACCCCGGCUUUCAGAGAAGAAAUCUCAUGAGUAACUUCUUGUUCCGUCUCUUUUCCAAUUUCAGGUAUGUUGGGUUCCCCAAAACUCAAAAGGGUACCAAGCAAAAUAGCAGUACAAACAAAAACAGGGGAUGAAGAGACUAAAAGGGAAAACAAAAAAGGAAAUGAUCUGUACAAGAAUAUCAAGAAACACGCCAUCCCCACAAGAAAUGGAUGCUUACGAACUGAUUUAUAAGAUGUCCUAAUUGAAAUGACCAAAAACCUCCUGACUUGAACGCUAGUUCUCAUUGCAUCAAGACCCAUUCUCUCUCUUGUUCUUUCUAUGUUUCCAAUCCCAAUCUCAAAAAUCUAAUCAAAGGAAAUAAGGAGCAAUCCGAUGACGAUUGAAUUCAAUACCAGAAAGCCAGAAAUUGAGAGAAAAUUAUGGGAGUAUGUUUAUAGUCUGAGACUUUAUAGGAAAAUAAAACUAGAGCAAAGAAUAACUUACCAGAUUGAAACAGAGAUCAA
Molecule: unclassified non-coding RNA, 1049 nt
Filed under: Hevea brasiliensis (rubber tree)
Lineage: Eukaryota; Viridiplantae; Streptophyta; Magnoliopsida; Malpighiales; Euphorbiaceae
Source: RNAcentral